UUCAUCAGAGGAAUGAGCUAGAAAACAACUGAUGUGAGUUUGAGGAGCCAUCUUAAGCAAUAAGGACACUCAUCUUCUGUGUGGUAAUGAAAGAACCAAACAUCACAUGCUCUUGGGUCCGGCUUUGUCACUCAGCCUUUGUGGAUAAGAUAGAUGUAGCCAUGAAUGAUAGAGCAGAUGGGUGGAUGGAGAAAGUUGUGAAACCAAAAAGAGCUAUGUCAAAAGAAGACUGUCAAAGACCAGUUUUCCACUUAACUGUAAAAAAUAUCUCCUGGUAUUAAAGCUGUUUCUGAAGAACAUUGUCUAUGGGGUCUUUCGGAAAAGUAUGGGAAAGUUGAAAGUGCUGAAAUUAUGACCUCAUGACCAACAAAAUCAGUAGAAAGAAGAGAACUGCCUUUGUUGACCAUGACUCCAAGAAUAAAGUUGACAUUCAGAAAUGGCCACAGGGGUGAAGUAAGAAAAUCCCUGCAAAAGCAAAAGAUAGGUAGUGCUUCAUGUAUCAAAGUGGUCAAAGUGUUUUUGGAAAGUUUGGUGGUAGCCAUGGAGGUGGUUUAGGUGGAAAUGACAGCUGUGGUCAUGGCAGCUUUGUUGGCAGGCAUACUGAUAAUAGAAAAGAUAGCAGUGGAUUUAUAAUAUAUUUGGUAAUAAUGAGAGCAAUUUUGAGAAUAAUGUAAUUGCCAAAGACAUUAGCAAUUACAACAAUUAAUCUUCAAAUUUUAGACCUAACAGGGGAGAAAUUCUGGAGGCAAAGUGUUGGCUCCUACAAUAGUAGAAGUUAGUACUUUGCCAAACCACAGAACUAAGGUAAGUUCAAUGGUUCUAGCAGUAGCUAAGGCAGUGCCAGGAAA
RNAcentral lists this long non-coding RNA (848 nucleotides) under Mus musculus (house mouse). RNAcentral's name for it is "long non-coding RNA chr4:19259095-19259943". Lineage: Eukaryota; Metazoa; Chordata; Mammalia; Rodentia; Muridae. The record is from RNAcentral.